AUUGAACGCUGGCGGAAUGCUUUACACAUGCAAGUCGAGCGGCAGCGCGGGGGCAACCCUGGCGGCGAGCGGCGAACGGGUGAGUAACAUAUCGGAACGUACCCAGUCGUGGGGGAUAACUAUCCGAAAGGAUAGCUAAUACCGCAUACGACCUGAGGGUGAAAGCGGGGGACCGCAAGGCCUCGCGCGAUAGGAGCGGCCGAUAUCGGAUUAGCUAGUUGGUGAGGUAAAGGCUCACCAAGGCGACGAUCCGUAGCGGGUCUGAGAGGACGACCCGCCACACUGGAACUGAGACACGGUCCAGACUCCUACGGGAGGCAGCAGUGGGGAAUUUUGGACAAUGGGGGCAACCCUGAUCCAGCCAUGCCGCGUGAGUGAAGAAGGCCUCGG
RNAcentral lists this ribosomal RNA (390 nucleotides) under uncultured bacterium. RNAcentral describes it as "bacterial SSU rRNA". It matches the Rfam family "Bacterial small subunit ribosomal RNA", at positions 29 to 420 of the family's 1533-position model. The record is from RNAcentral.